UCUUCUAACUGAACAAACUCAUUUGAAAUAUGGGAAAAUGGAGUAUACAACAAAUUAGAGACUUGGCGAGGAAAAAGGAUCCAGUUAGCAACAGAGGGUCUGGAAUGCUGGAAGGAGCCAAGAGCAGAUGCCAUCUUGGUGAUGUGUUUCAUCUUCAGGACCUGAGACCCAUCUGGUCAAAUAUUUGUGUGUAUAUGCAAAAUUUUAGGUCAUUUGUUAAAAGGAGCUCAUGAAUACAUGUCCUUGACUUCCCAGAGAUGGAAAAAACACUUCUCUCCGCCAAAGAACUUCCAAAUAGUGCUUCUAGCCUAUGCUCCUCAUCAGUGUCCAUGUCUCUCAGAUGUCUCUAGUUUUGGUUGAGGAAUGAGGAAAUGUGGUUGCCUCCUUUUAUUGGCUGAUUCGUCUGCUGAGCUCCUAACUUCUUAGCUAAUCUAGGUGAAACCAACCCUUGUCCUGGACCCUGGGCUUUUGUGGAGGACUGUCUUACUGUUCACAAAUACUCCGCCUUUUCCAUGAGAAGCUAAUUUAUCCCUGCCUGUUGAAAUUGGGCAUGGACAAUGACUUGCUUGGUUGUCUAAUAAAAUGUGAGCAGAAA
This 595-nucleotide long non-coding RNA is filed under the name Homo sapiens (human). RNAcentral describes it as "HSALNT0326083". Lineage: Eukaryota; Metazoa; Chordata; Mammalia; Primates; Hominidae. The record is from RNAcentral.